This 74-nucleotide transfer RNA is filed under the name Acidiphilium sp. CAG:727. RNAcentral describes it as "transfer RNA-Gly(CCC)". It matches the Rfam family "tRNA". Rfam says of the family: Transfer RNA (tRNA) molecules are approximately 80 nucleotides in length. Their secondary structure includes four short double-helical elements and three loops (D, anti-codon, and T loops). The record is from RNAcentral. Lineage: Bacteria; Pseudomonadati; Pseudomonadota; Alphaproteobacteria; Acetobacterales; Acidocellaceae. RNAcentral also lists the same sequence under 2 other names.
GCGGGCAUAGUUUAGUGGUAAAAUAGGAGCUUCCCAAGCUUCGGUUGCGAGUCCGAUUCUCGUUGCCCGCUCCA